GAUGAACGCUGGCGGCGUGCCUAAUACAUGCAAGUCGAGCGAACAGACGAGGAGCUUGCUCCUCUGACGUUAGCGGCGGACGGGUGAGUAACACGUGGAUAACCUACCUAUAAGACUGGGAUAACUUCGGGAAACCGGAGCUAAUACCGGAUAAUAUAUUGAACCGCAUGGUUCAAUAGUGAAAGACGGUUUUGCUGUCACUUAUAGAUGGAUCCGCGCCGCAUUAGCUAGUUGGUAAGGUAACGGCUUACCAAGGGGACGAUGCGUAGACGACCUGGGAGGGUGGUCGGCCACACUGGAACUGAGACACGGUCCAGACUCCUACGGGAGGCAGCAGUAGGGAAUCUUCCGCAAUGGGCGAAAGCUUGACGGAGCAACGCCGCGUGAGUGAUGAAGGUCUUCGGAUCGUAAAACUCUGUUAUUAGGGAAGAACAAAUGUGUAAGUAACUAUACACGUCUUGACGGUACCUAAUCAGAAAGCCACGGCUAACUACGUG
RNAcentral lists this ribosomal RNA (497 nucleotides) under uncultured bacterium. RNAcentral describes it as "partial 16S ribosomal RNA". It matches the Rfam family "Bacterial small subunit ribosomal RNA", at positions 28 to 507 of the family's 1533-position model. The record is from RNAcentral.